This 303-nucleotide ribosomal RNA is filed under the name uncultured bacterium. Its description in RNAcentral is "partial 16S ribosomal RNA". It matches the Rfam family "Bacterial small subunit ribosomal RNA", at positions 507 to 807 of the family's 1533-position model. The record is from RNAcentral.
AGCAGUCGCCGCGGUAAUACGAGGGGGGCAAGCGUUGUUCGGAAUUAUUGGGCGUAAAGGGUGCGUAGGCGGCUUGACAAGUCUUGUGUGAAAUCUAUGGGCUCAACCCAUAGUCUGCACGGGAAACUGUCGGGCUUGAGAAUGGGAGAGGUGAGUGGAAUUUCCGGUGUAGCGGUGAAAUGCGUAGAUAUCGGAAGGAACACCUGUGGCGAAAGCGGCUCACUGGACCAUUUCUGACGCUGAUGCACGAAAGCUAGGGGAGCAAACAGGAUUAGAUACCCCAGUAGUCCCUGUCUCUUAUAC